This 536-nucleotide ribosomal RNA is filed under the name uncultured bacterium. RNAcentral's name for it is "partial 16S ribosomal RNA". It matches the Rfam family "Bacterial small subunit ribosomal RNA", at positions 355 to 883 of the family's 1533-position model. The record is from RNAcentral.
UGGGGAAUUUUGGACAAUGGGCGAAAGCCUGAUCCAGCAAUGCCGCGUGUGUGAAGAAGGCCUUCGGGUUGUAAAGCACUUUUGUCCGGAAAGAAAUCCUUGGCUCUAAUACAGUCGGGGGAUGACGGUACCGGAAGAAUAAGCACCGGCUAACUACGUGCCAGCAGCCGCGGUAAUACGUAGGGUGCAAGCGUUAAUCGGAAUUACUGGGCGUAAAGCGUGCGCAGGCGGUUUGCUAAGACCGAUGUGAAAUCCCCGGGCUCAACCUGGGAACUGCAUUGGUGACUGGCAGGCUAGAGUAUGGCAGAGGGGGGUAGAAUUCCACGUNUAGCAGUGAAAAUGCGUAGAGAUGUGGAGGAAUACCGAUGGCGAAGGCAGCCCCCUGGGCAAUACUGACGCUCAUGCACGAAAGCGUGGGGAGCAAACAGGAUUAGAUACCCUGGUAGUCCACGCCCUAAAACGAUGUCAACUAGUUGUUGGGGAUUCAUUUCCUUAGUAACGUAGCUAACGCGUGAAGUUGACCGCCUGGGGAGUAC